CAGAUCGAAGGAGGGAGAGGUCGCGGUGUUAAUCUUUGGGAUGGCUUCAGUCACCAAUAUCCAGAGAAAGCUGGGUCAGAUUUGAAGAAUGGAGACACUACUUGUCAGUCAUAUACGAGAUGGCAGAAAGAUGUAGACGUGAUGGGCGAACUCAAUGCUACUGGCUACAGAUUCUCCUUUGCGUGGUCAAGAAUCAUUCCAA
Raphanus sativus (radish) is the source of this 202-nucleotide long non-coding RNA. RefSeq lists it as uncharacterized. The record is from RefSeq and is a predicted model, not a curated record. NCBI's taxonomy places the organism in Eukaryota, Viridiplantae, Streptophyta, Magnoliopsida, Brassicales, Brassicaceae. The transcript is spliced from 3 exons.